AUACGGAGGAUCCGAGCGUUAUCCGGAUUUAUUGGGUUUAAAGGGUGCGCAGGCGGCCAUUUAAGUCAGCGGUUAAAUCGUGGGGCUCAACCCCAUUCUGCCGUUGAUACUGGGUGGCUUGAUUGCGGUCGAGGUUGGCGGAAUUCGUUGUGUAGCGGUGAAAUGCAUAGAUAUGACGAAGAACACAGAUUGCGUAGGCAGCUGACCAGACCGCAAAUGACGCUCAUGCACGAAAGUGCGGGGAUCGAACAGGAUUAGAUACCCUGGUAGUCCGCACAGUAAACGAUGAAUACUUGUUUUCGGCGAUAUAAUGUCGGAGGCAAAGCGAAAGCGAUAAGUAUUCCACCUGGGGAGUACGCCGGCAACGGUGAAACUCAAAUGAAUUGACGGGG
RNAcentral lists this ribosomal RNA (392 nucleotides) under uncultured bacterium. RNAcentral's name for it is "partial 16S ribosomal RNA". It matches the Rfam family "Bacterial small subunit ribosomal RNA", at positions 523 to 918 of the family's 1533-position model. The record is from RNAcentral.